This 303-nucleotide unclassified non-coding RNA is filed under the name plant metagenome. RNAcentral's name for it is "partial contains 5.8S ribosomal RNA, internal transcribed spacer 2, and large subunit ribosomal RNA". The stretch from base 1 to 105 matches the Rfam family "5.8S ribosomal RNA", at positions 50 to 154 of the family's 154-position model. The record is from RNAcentral.
GAAAUGCGAUAAGUAAUGUGAAUUGCAGAAUUCAGUGAAUCAUCGAAUCUUUGAACGCACAUUGCGCCCGCCAGUAUUCUGGCGGGCAUGCCUGUUCGAGCGUCAUUUCAACCAUCAAGCCCCGCGCUUGUGUUGGGGACCUGCGGCUGCCGCAGGCCCUGAAAACCAGUGGCGGGCUCGCUGUCACACCGGGCGUAGUAGAUUUUAUCUCGCUCAGGGCGUGCUGCGGGUUCCGGCCGUUAAAAAGCCUUUUUUACCCAAGGUUGACCUCGGAUCAGGUAGGAAGCCCCGCUGAACUUAAGC